GAUUAAGUUAUUAAGGGCGCACGGUGGAUGCCUUGGCACUAGAAGCCGACGAAGGACGUUACUAACGACGAUAUGCUUUGGGGAGCUGUAAGUAAGCUUUGAUCCAGAGAUUUCCGAAUGGGGAAACCCAGCACGAGUUAUGUCGUGUUAUCGAUAUGUGAAUACAUAGCAUAUCUGAAGGCAGACGCGGAGAACUGAAACAUCUUAGUACCCGCAGGAAGAGAAAGAAAAAUCGAUUCCCUGAGUAGCGGCGAGCGAAACGGGAAGAGCCCAAACCAACGAGCUUGCUUGUUGGGGUUGUAGGACACUCUAUACGGAGUUACAAAAGAACAGACUAGACGAAUCAUCUGGAAAGAUGAAUCAAAGAAGGUAAUAAUCCUGUAGUCGAAAGUUUGUUCACUCUUGAGUGGAUCCUGAGUACGACGGAACACGAGAAAUUCCGUCGGAAUCUGGGAGGACCAUCUCCCAAGGCUAAAUACUCUCUAGUGACCGAUAGUGAACCAGUACCGUGAGGGAAAGGUGAAAAGUACCCCGGAAGGGGAGUGAAAUAGAACUUGAAACCGUGUGCUUACAAGUAGUCAGAGCCCGUUAAUGGGUGAUGGCGUGCCUUUUGUAGAAUGAACCGGCGAGUUACGAUUUGAUGCAAGGUUAAGCAGUGAAUGUGGAGCCGUAGCGAAAGCGAGUCUGAAUAGGGCGUUGAGUAUUUGGUCGUAGACCCGAAACCAGGUGAUCUACCCAUGACCAGGUUGAAGUUCAGGUAACACUGAAUGGAGGACCGAACCGACUUACGUUGAAAAGUGAGCGGAUGAGUUGUGGGUAGCGGAGAAAUUCCAAUCGAACCUGGAGAUAGCUGGUUCUCUCCGAAAUAGCUUUAGGGCUAGCCUCAAGUGAUGAUUAUUGGAGGUAGAGCACUGUUUGGACGAGGGGCCCUUAUCGGGUUACCGAAUUCAGACAAACUCCGAAUGCCAAUCAAUUUAACUUGGGAGUCAGAACGCGGGUGAUAAGGUCCGUGUUCGAAAGGGAAACAGCCCAGACCACCAGCUAAGGUCCCAAAAUAUAUGUUAAGUGGAAAAGGAUGUGGCGUUGCCCAGACAACUAGGAUGUUGGCUUAGAAGCAGCCAUCAUUUAAAGAGUGCGUAAUAGCUCACUAGUCGAGUGACACUGCGCCGAAAAUGUACCGGGGCUAAACAUAUUACCGAAGCUGUGGAUUGUCCGUAAGGACAAUGGUAGGAGAGCGUUCUAAGGGCGUUGAAGCAUGAUCGCAAGGACAUGUGGAGCGCUUAGAAGUGAGAAUGCCGGUGUGAGUAGCGAAAGACGGGUGAGAAUCCCGUCCACCGAUUGACUAAGGUUUCCAGAGGAAGGCUCGUCCGCUCUGGGUUAGUCGGGUCCUAAGCUGAGGCCGAUAGGCGUAGGCGAUGGAUAACAGGUUGAUAUUCCUGUACCACCAUUAUUCGUUUUAAGCGAUGGGGGGACGCAGUAGGAUAGGCGAAGCGUACGAUUGGAUUGUACGUCCAAGCAGUGAGAUUGAGUGUUAGGCAAAUCCGGCACUCUUAAGAUUGAGCUGUGAUGGGGAGAGGAAAUUGUUUCCUCGAGUCGUUGAUUUCACACUGCCAAGAAAAGCCUCUAGCUAGAAUUGUGGUGCCCGUACCGCAAACCGACACAGGUAGUCAAGAUGAGAAUUCUAAGGUGAGCGAGCGAACUCUCGUUAAGGAACUCGGCAAAAUGACCCCGUAACUUCGGGAGAAGGGGUGCUCUUUAGGGUUAACGCCCAGGAGAGCCGCAGUGAAUAGGCCCAAGCGACUGUUUAUCAAAAACACAGGUCUCUGCUAAACCGUAAGGUGAUGUAUAGGGGCUGACGCCUGCCCGGUGCUGGAAGGUUAAGAGGAGUGGUUAGCUUCUGCGAAGCUACGAAUCGAAGCCCCAGUAAACGGCGGCCGUAACUAUAACGGUCCUAAGGUAGCGAAAUUCCUUGUCGGGUAAGUUCCGACCCGCACGAAAGGCGUAACGAUUUGGGCACUGUCUCAACGAGAGACUCGGUGAAAUCAUAGUACCUGUGAAGAUGCAGGUUACCCGCGACAGGACGGAAAGACCCCGUGGAGCUUUACUGUAGUCUGAUAUUGAAAUUCGGCACAGCUUGUACAGGAUAGGUAGGAGCCUGAGAUACGUGAGCGCUAGCUUACGUGGAGGCGUUGGUGGGAUACUACCCUCGCUGUGUUGGAUUUCUAACCCGCACCAUUUAUCAUGGUGGGAGACAGUGUCAGAUGGGCAGUUUGACUGGGGCGGUCGCCUCCUAAAGAGUAACGGAGGCGCUCAAAGGUUUCCUCAGAAUGGUUGGAAAUCAUUCAUAGAGUGUAAAGGCAUAAGGAAGCUUGACUGCGAGACUUACAAGUCGAGCAGGGUCGAAAGACGGACUUAGUGAUCCGGUGGUUCCGCAUGGAAGGGCCAUCGCUCAACGGAUAAAAGCUACCCCGGGGAUAACAGGCUUAUCUCCCCCAAGAGUUCACAUCGACGGGGAGGUUUGGCACCUCGAUGUCGGCUCAUCGCAUCCUGGGGCUGUAGUCGGUCCCAAGGGUUGGGCUGUUCGCCCAUUAAAGCGGUACGCGAGCUGGGUUCAGAACGUCGUGAGACAGUUCGGUCCCUAUCCGUCGUGGGCGUAGGAAAUUUGAGAGGAGCUGUCCUUAGUACGAGAGGACCGGGAUGGACAUACCUCUGGUGUACCAGUUGUCGUGCCAACGGCAUCGCUGGGUAGCUAUGUAUGGACGGGAUAAGUGCUGAAAGCAUCUAAGCAUGAAGCCCCCCUCAAGAUGAGAUUUCCCAACUUCGGUUAUAAGAUCCCUCAAAGAUGAUGAGGUUAAUAGGUUCGAGGUGGAAGCAUAGCGAUAUGUGCAGCUGACGAAUACUAAUCGAUCGAAGACUUAAUCAA
Molecule: ribosomal RNA, 2923 nt
Filed under: Streptomyces cellulosae
Lineage: Bacteria; Bacillati; Actinomycetota; Actinomycetes; Kitasatosporales; Streptomycetaceae
Also listed under: 7 other names
Description: 23S ribosomal RNA
Rfam family: Bacterial large subunit ribosomal RNA
Source: RNAcentral